RNAcentral lists this unclassified non-coding RNA (306 nucleotides) under plant metagenome. RNAcentral's name for it is "partial contains 5.8S ribosomal RNA, internal transcribed spacer 2, and large subunit ribosomal RNA". The stretch from base 1 to 105 matches the Rfam family "5.8S ribosomal RNA", at positions 50 to 154 of the family's 154-position model. The record is from RNAcentral.
GAAAUGCGAUAAGUAAUGUGAAUUGAAGAAUUCAGUGAAUCAUCGAAUCUUUGAACGCACAUUGCGCCCGCCAGUAUUCUGGCGGGCAUGCCUGUCCGAGCGUCAUUUCAACCAUCAAGCCCCCGGGCUUGUGUUGGGGACCUGCGGCUGCCCGCAGGCCCUGAAAACCAGUGGCGGGCUCGCUGUCACACCGAGCGUAGUAGCAAUCACCUCGCUCAGGGCGUGCUGCGGGUUCCGGCCGUUAAACAGCCUUACAAAACCCAAGGUUGACCUCGGAUCAGGUAGGAAGACCCGCUGAACUUAAGC